GAUGAAGAACGCAGCGAAAUGCGAUAAGUAGUGUGAAUUGCAGAAUUCAGUGAAUCAUCGAAUCUUUGAACGCACAUUGCGCCCCUUGGUAUUCCAUGGGGCAUGCCUGUUCGAGCGUCAUUUGUACCUUCAAGCUCUGCUUGGUGUUGGGUGGUUGUCUCGCCUCUGCGUGUAGACUCGCCUCAAAACAAUUGGCAGCCGGCGUAUUGAUUUCGGAGCGCAGUACAUCUCGCGCUUUGCACUCAUAACGACGACGUCCAAAAGUACAUUUUUACACUCUUGACCUCGGAUCAGGUAGGGAUACCCGCUGAACUUAAGCAUAUCAAUAAGCGGAGGA
This 337-nucleotide unclassified non-coding RNA is filed under the name soil metagenome. RNAcentral describes it as "partial contains 5.8S ribosomal RNA, internal transcribed spacer 2, and large subunit ribosomal RNA". The stretch from base 1 to 120 matches the Rfam family "5.8S ribosomal RNA", at positions 35 to 154 of the family's 154-position model. The record is from RNAcentral.